GCUCCGGCCUCGGAGCCGCUGCCGUUUGCGGUCCGGACCAGAGGCGGGAGCCGAGGACACAGCGCCGAGUGCGGCCUCGGUUGCGGGCGCGGGCUGGAGCGCGGGCGCGAGCCCUGCCGGUGGCGCUCGGUGCUCUUAGGUCCCCUCGCUCUCGGCCGGGACGCGGGAGAGAGCGGCGCGCGGCGGGGGCGCGAGGUGGUGCGGGCGGGGGCGGCCAAUGCGAAACUGGCUGGUGCUGCUGUGCCCGUGCGUGCUCGGGGCCGCGCUGCACCUCUGGCACCUCUGGCUGCGCUCCCCGCCGCCCCCCCGCGCCUCCGGGCCCGGUGCGGCAGGUCAAUCAGCCUUAUUUCCUCAGUGGAAAUUUAGUCAUUAUGAUGUGGUAGUUGGUGUGUUAUCAGCUCGAAAUAACCAUGAACUUCGAAAUGUGAUAAGAAACACCUGGCUGAAGCAUUUGCUGCAGCAUCCUACUUUAAGUCAACGUGUGCUUGUGAAGUUCAUAAUAGGUGCUCGUGGCUGUGAAGUGCCUGUGGAAGACAGGGAGGAUCCUUACUCCUGCCGGCUGCUCAACAUCACCAACCCAGUUUUGAAUCAAGAAAUCGAGGCCUUCAACUUCCCUGAAGAUACUUCCUCAUCCAGACUCUCUGAAGACCAAGUUGUCAGCGUGAGCUUCCGAGUUCUCUACCCAAUCGUGAUUACCAGUCUUGGAGUGUUCUAUGAUGCCAAUGAUGUUGGUUUUCAGAGGAACAUCACAGUCAAGUUGUAUCAGGCAGAGCAGGAGGAGGCCCUUUUCGUCGCUCGAUUUAGUCCUCCAAGCUGUGGCAUACAGGUGAACAAGCUAUGGUACAAGCCUGUGGAGCAGUUCAUCUUACCAGAGAGCUUUGAAGGUACAAUCGUGUGGGAAAGCCAAGAUCUCCAUGGCCUCUUGUCCCGAAACCUACACAGAGUGACAGUGAAUGACGGAGGGGGUGUUCUCAGAGUCAUUACAGCUGGGGAAGGGACACUGCCUCAUGAAUUCAUGGAAGGUGUGGAGGGAGUUGCAGGUGGCUUUAUCUACACUAUUCAGGAAGGAGAUGCACUGUUACGAAGCCUUCACUCACGGCCCCAGAGACUCUCAAACCACAUACAGGAUCUACGAGUGGAAGAUGCCUUACUGCAGGAGGAGAGCAGCAUCUAUGACGACAUUGUCUUCGUGGAUGUUGUGGAUACUUACCGGAAUGUUCCUGCAAAAUUACUGAACUUCUACAGGUGGACUGUGGAAACCACUAGCUUCGGUUUGCUGCUGAAGACGGAUGAUGACUGUUACAUAGACUUAGAAGCUGUGUUUAAUAGAAUUGCUCAGAAGAAUCUAAAUGGACCUAAUUUUUGGUGGGGAAAUUUCAGGUUGAAUUGGGCAGUGGACAGAACUGGGAAGUGGCAGGAGCUAGAAUACCCCAGCCCAGCCUACCCUGCCUUUGCAUGUGGGUCAGGGUACGUGAUCUCCAAGGAUAUCGUUGACUGGCUGGCAGGCAACUCUGGAAGGUUAAAGACCUAUCAGUAGGGUGAAGAUGUCAGCAUGGGCAUUUGGAUGGCAGCCAUAGGACCUAAAAGACACCAGGACAGCCUGUGGCUGUGUGAGAAAACCUGUGAGACAGGAAUGCUGUCUUCUCCUCAGUAUUCACCACAAGAGCUGAGCAGACUGUGGGAACUGAAGGAGCUGUGUGGGGAUCCUUGUCAGUGUGAAGCAAAAGUACAGUGAUCCACAAAGACCAGGGGACU
Molecule: RNA transcript, 1755 nt
Organism: Alexandromys fortis (reed vole)
Lineage: Eukaryota; Metazoa; Chordata; Mammalia; Rodentia; Cricetidae
Gene: B3galnt2
Gene name: beta-1,3-N-acetylgalactosaminyltransferase 2
Exons: 12
Source: RefSeq, a predicted model, not a curated record